RNAcentral lists this ribosomal RNA (326 nucleotides) under uncultured eukaryote. RNAcentral's name for it is "partial 18S ribosomal RNA". It matches the Rfam family "Eukaryotic small subunit ribosomal RNA", at positions 1470 to 1796 of the family's 1831-position model. The record is from RNAcentral.
CCCUUAGAUGUUCUGGGCCGCACGCGCGCUACACUGACGGAGGCAGCGAGCAUGUCCUGCGCCGAGAGGUGUGGGGAAUCUUGUGAGUCUCCGUCGUGCUGGGGAUAGAUGGUUGCAAUUGUCGAUCUUGAACGAGGAAUUCCUAGUAAGCGCGAGUCAUCAGCUCGCGCUGAUUACGUCCCUGCCCUUUGUACACACCGCCCGUCGCUCCUACCGAUUGAGUGGUCCGGUGAGGCUUUGGGAUCUGAGCGGAAAGAGCGUUUCGCUGUUUCUGCUCGGAAAACUCAGUCGAACCUUAUCAUUUAGAGGAAGGAGAAGUCGUAACA